This 671-nucleotide ribosomal RNA is filed under the name uncultured bacterium. Its description in RNAcentral is "bacterial SSU rRNA". It matches the Rfam family "Bacterial small subunit ribosomal RNA", at positions 60 to 719 of the family's 1533-position model. The record is from RNAcentral.
AGUCGAGGGGCAGCAUGGUCUUAGCUUGCUAAGGCUGAUGGCGACCGGCGCACGGGUGAGUAACACGUAUCCAACCUGCCGUCUACUCUUGGCCAGCCUUCUGAAAGGAAGAUUAAUCCAGGAUGGGAUCAUGAGUUCACAUGUCCGCAUGAUUAAAGGUAUUUUCCGGUAGACGAUGGGGAUGCGUUCCAUUAGAUAGUAGGCGGGGUAACGGCCCACCUAGUCAACGAUGGAUAGGGGUUCUGAGAGGAAGGUCCCCCACAUUGGAACUGAGACACGGUCCAAACUCCUACGGGAGGCAGCAGUGAGGAAUAUUGGUCAAUGGGCGAUGGCCUGAACCAGCCAAGUAGCGUGAAGGAUGACUGCCCUAUGGGUUGUAAACUUCUUUUAUAAAGGAAUAAAGUCGGGUAUGCAUACCCGUUUGCAUGUACUUUAUGAAUAAGGAUCGGCUAACUCCGUGCCAGCAGCCGCGGUGAUACGGAGGAUCCGAGCGUUAUCCGGAUUUAUUGGGUUUAAAGGGAGCGUAGAUGGAUGUUUAAGUCAGUUGUGAAAGUUUGCGGCUCAACCGUAAAAUUGCAGUUGAUACUGGAUGUCUUGAGUGCAGUUGAGGCAGCGGAAUUCGUGGUGUAGCGGUGAAAUGCUUAGAUAUCACGAAGAACUCCGAUUGCGAA